AUUGAACGCUGGCGGCAGGCUUAACACAUGCAAGUCGAGCGGGGUGAUGGCGCUUGCACUAUCACUUAGCGGCGGACGGGUGAGUAAUGCUUAGGAAUCUGCCUAUUAGUGGGGGACAACAUCUCGAAAGGGAUACUAAUACCGCAUACGUCCUACGGGAGAAAGCAGGGGAUCACUUGUGACCUUUCGCUAAUAGAUGAGCCUAAGUCGGAUUAGCUAGUUGGUGGGGUAAAGGCCUACCAAGGCGACGAUCUGUAGCGGGUCUGAGAGGAUGUUCCGGCACACUGGGACUGAGGCACGGCCCAGGAUCCUACGGGAGGCAGCAGUGGGGAAUAUUAGACAAUGGGGGGAGUCCUGAUCCAGCCAUGCCGCGUGUGUGAAGAAGGCCUUAUGGUUGUAAAGCACUUUAAGCGAGGAGGAGGCUCUUUUGGUUAAUACCCAAGAUGAGUGGACGUUACUCGAAGAAUAAGCACCGGCUAACUCUGUGACAGCCGCCGCCGUAA
This 503-nucleotide ribosomal RNA is filed under the name uncultured bacterium. RNAcentral describes it as "partial 16S ribosomal RNA". It matches the Rfam family "Bacterial small subunit ribosomal RNA", at positions 30 to 523 of the family's 1533-position model. The record is from RNAcentral.